GGAUGUGAGGGCCAUCUAGCUGCGACAUCAGCAAUUACCUCAUUGACUGCCAACUUUGAUCCGGCUGGUCUGGUUGGCUAGAUGGUGUCUCUAUCUUCCCCCUUCCUGCACAUGUAUGUGUAUCCCCUUCCCCUGAAGCUCUGAGAUCAAUCAGAGAAAACCUUCCCCAGUAGAGGAGGUCUAUUCUUUGGUCAAGGGCAUGUGAGUGAGUUUGUGUGUUCCCCUACUAGAGCGCUAGGAGAAUGCUCUACUAGAACGAGACAAGACCGCAAGAAGUAAUGGGGUGUAAGGCACAGUAAGAGGCUGUCCCUUCGUCC
This is an unclassified non-coding RNA of Panthera pardus (leopard), 317 nucleotides long. Its record names the gene 7SK. It matches the Rfam family "7SK RNA". From Rfam's summary of the family: 7SK was discovered as an abundant small nuclear RNA in the mid-70s but a possible function has only recently been suggested. Two independent studies have found that 7SK RNA binds the CDK9/cyclin T complex (known as elongation factor P-TEFb). Lineage: Eukaryota; Metazoa; Chordata; Mammalia; Carnivora; Felidae. The record is from Ensembl.